Molecule: long non-coding RNA, 278 nt
Filed under: Lathyrus oleraceus (garden pea)
Lineage: Eukaryota; Viridiplantae; Streptophyta; Magnoliopsida; Fabales; Fabaceae
Description: Pisum sativum (pea) long non-coding RNA (PSAT_LNC022403)
Source: RNAcentral
AGAUAAAAAACUAAAAUCCUAUUUAUCCAUAUAAAACACUAUUUUCACAUAAUGCAAAGAGCUUGAACAUCUCUUUCCCAUGAAGUUCCUACUCAUGUGCUAACUCAUCUACCAAAUUCUUAUUGUACAUCUCGUCUAAAUGUUCAAACUCUUUAUUUUUCGAUUCACAUUCACUUGCUAACUUCUUCUCAACAUUCCAUCUCUUCCUUUUGCACGUGUAUGAUUUUUCUCGAUGUACCAAACCAUAAUCAUGGGUUAAUGCUUUCUCCAACACCACG